This 1624-nucleotide long non-coding RNA is filed under the name Microcebus murinus (gray mouse lemur). Its description in RNAcentral is "lncRNA (ENSMICG00000048842.1)". Lineage: Eukaryota; Metazoa; Chordata; Mammalia; Primates; Cheirogaleidae. The record is from RNAcentral.
AACUGGGCCUUGGAGUCUGUGGUCAGUCUAGUGAGAAAACUAACAGGAUCAUUGCUCCUGCAGGUAUGUGACCAUGAGCUCCGGUGUCAGUGCAAAGAAGGAUGGGCCCCUCCCGACUGCAGUGACUCUUCAGUGGCCUUCCACUUCUCCAUUGCGGUUGGCGUGCUGUUCCCAGUGGUGGUCAUCUUUGUGGUGGUUGCCAUAGUAAUCCGGCACCAGAGCUCCAGAGGAAAGCAGAAGAAAGUUCAGAAGGCACCAUCUACUGCUGGCACCAGACCACACAAACAGAAGAGGAGACUUCAGGUGGUGAAGGCUGUUCAACCCCAAGAGAUGAGUCAGGCGAAGCUCCCUGUGUCUGAUCUGCCAGUAGAAGACAGUGAACCUCCAGCUUAUUUUUUAAUUACAAAGCCAGAUUUUCCACCACCACCGAUUCCUACAUCUAUAUCCUCAUCUUUUCUCCAUAAAGACACAAAAGCACUUCCCUCUAAUGUUUUCAAGGAUAAGCCAAUGUCUACACCUAAGGUAAGAGAUCCAUGGCCAAAUUAUUAUAAUUUUGGAUCAUAAUCUCCUAGUAUCAAGGGGAGAAGUUCGAAUCAUGUCUUCUUAGACGUUUACUAAGAACUGUAUCUGUAUGAUUGUGGGACAGGCGCUAACAUGAAUGUCUUCUGAGUUAGGCCAAUGACCAAGACGAGGGAGAUCGGAAUGUCUCAGCUAGAAAGCUAUGAUGACCCCAAUAUUCUUCAUUUGUUCAGAAAUAUCCACUAAGAAUGAAUAUUCUAUAGGAGGAAAUCUCUCAAAGAAUAAUUACUCGGUAUCCCAUAACCCUCUCCUUGUCCCCCAUCCUCUCCAUAUUAUGCUAAUCACUGAGAUGGAUAUUUGGACCCCAGUGUGGUAUUUUUCUCACCUUUGAUUCCUACCCUCCCAUGUUUCCACUCCUUUACUGUUGUUCUAUUAAAUAACCUAUAACAUAGGAAAUGUGGCCUCAGAUAAUUGAUUUUUAAUUUUUUAAUAAAAAGAAUUCAUCGUUUCAUAAUAUAGAAUAUCUAAAUCAAAGUUUCAUAAUAUAGAAUAUCUAAAUUUGGGGGAAAAGUUGAUUACUUAAGAGUUUUUUUCUUUUUUAGGGCUCAAAUCUCAAAGUAUGAAGCAACAGCUAAGUAAGAAUUGAUGAAUAAAUGCUCAACUUGAAAGAUUGGACAAUUGGAAUAAAAAAGAAAUACAUUUACUUUCUCACUGGUGUUUGCUCUUGACAGUCAAGGAGGUUAAUAUUUCCUGAUUCAUGUUAUAUUUUGAAAAUAUUAAACAAAAUUUUUCGAGAGAGACUUUGAGAAUCUUUGUAUGAUUUUAAAGUUUCUGUUACCCAUACUCUUAAGAAAGAAGAUGACUCUAAAGAAAUACCUCUGAAGCUUAAAUCUCUAAGAUGAUUUUCCUAGACAACCCUCCUUUUGCACAAUGAUGUUGACUGAUAUUUGUUCAAAUUUUUUGAACACUUUGAUUUUGCUCUUUUGAUAGACAGUAAUUCACUCUCUAAUGAAAACAAAACAAAACCAAACAAAAAUCACAGAAACCUGGGAAAAAUAAGAGAAAAAUGGUCCAUUUUUUAUUAAAUGUGUAGCGACAUCUUGAU